Molecule: ribosomal RNA, 245 nt
Filed under: uncultured bacterium
Lineage: Bacteria
Description: partial 16S ribosomal RNA
Rfam family: Bacterial small subunit ribosomal RNA
Source: RNAcentral
AACGAACGCUGGCGGCGUGGAUAAGACAUGCAAGUCGAACGGGAUUACUUCUGGUAGCAAUACCGGGAGUAAUUCAGUGGCGAACGGGUGCGUAACACGUGGGCAAUCUGCCGAAAAGUGGGGGAGUAGCUCGCCGAAGGACGAUUAAUACCGCAUAUGAUGAGAGACGACAUCGUUUCGUAAAUACAAAGACCGGGGCGAACCUGGCGCUUUUUGUAGGAGCCCGCCGGCCGUAUCAGCUAGUU